GUUGGCUCAGAAGCAGCCACUCAUUCAAAGAGUGCGUAAUAGCUCACUGGUCGAGCGUCUUUGCGCGGAGAAUUUAACGGGGCUAAACCUGACACCGAAGCUUAGGCAAUACAGCAAUGUAUUGGGUAGGGGAGCGUUGUAUACGCGGUGAAACAGUAGCGCAAGCGGCUGUGGAGUGUAUAGAAGUGAGAAUGCCGGAAUGAGUAGCGCGAAUGCAGUGAGAAUCUGCAUGGCCGAAAGCCUCAGGUUUCUGGAGGAAGGUUCGUCCGCUCCAGGUCAGUCGGGAGCUAAGGUGAGGCCUAACGGCGUAGCCGAUGCACAGACGGUAGAGAUUCCGUCACCACCAAAAGAGUUAAGCACAGGGACACAUAUGAAGUCUCGGAGCCGGGUGUUGGUUCCGGUAGCGAUCGAGGGAAGUUAGUACCGAAGUCCGGGAUGGAAGAUGGCGAGAAAAGCUGUGUGAAUUUCUGCGGUGCCCGUACCGCAAACCGACACAGGUAGGUAGGAAGAAGAUUCUAAGGCCAACGGGAGAAGGGUUGUUAAGGAACUCGGCAAAUUGACCCCGUAACUUCGGGAGAAGGGGUGCUGCAGCAAUGCAGCCGCAGAGAAUCGGCCCAAGCAACUGUUUACCAAAAACACAGGUUUGUGCUAAAUCGAAAGAUGACGUAUACGAGCUGACGCCUGCCCGGUGCUGGAAGGUUAAGAGGAGAUGUGCAAGCAUUGAAUCGAAGCCCCAGUGAACGGCGGCCGUAACUAUAACGGUCCUAAGGUAGCGAAAUUCCUUGUCAGGUAAGUUCUGACCCGCAUGAAAGGCGUAAUGAUUUGGGCACUGUCUCAACAGCCCGCCCGGCGAAAUUGUAGUACCGGUGAAGAUGCCGGUUACCCGCGACAAGACGGAAAGACCCCAUGGAGCUUUACUGUAGCCUAAUAUUGGGUUUCGAUGUUGCAUGCACAGGAUAGAUGGGACACUGGGAAGCAGGUGCUUUGGCGCUUGUGGAGUGGCCGUUGGGAUACCAUCCUUGCGAUAUUGGAAUUCUAACCUGCGCCUUUGAAUCAAGGCGGGGGACAUUGUUAGGUGGGCAGUUUGACUGGGGCGGUCGCCUCCUAAAGAGUAACGGAGGCGUUCAAAGGUUCGCUCAGCUUGAACGGAAAUCAAGCAAAAGAGUGCAAACGCAGAAGCGAGCCUAACUGCGAGACUGACGGGUCGAGCAGUAACGAAAGUUGGAGUUAGUGAUCCGGUGGUAUGUGAGUGGAAAUGCCAUCGCUCAACGGAUAAAAGUUACCCUGGGGAUAACAGGCUGAUCUCCCCCAAGAGUCCACAUCGACGGGGAGGUUUGGCACCUCGAUGUCGGCUCAUCGCAUCCUGGGGCUGUAUUCGGUCCCAAGGGUUUGGCUGUUCGCCAAUUAAAGCGGUACGCGAGCUGGGUUCAGAACGUCGUGAGACAGUUCGGUCCCUAUCUGUCGUGGGCGCAGGAUAUUUGAUGGGAGCUGUUCCUAGUACGAGAGGACCGGAGCGGACGUACCUCUGGCGCACCAGUUGUUCUGCCAAGAGCAUAGCUGGGCAACUAUGUACGGAUCGGAUAAACGCUGAAAGCAUCUAAGCGUGAAGCCGACCCAAAGAUAAGAUAUCCCAUUGUUUCAAACAAGUAAGACCCCUUGAAGACUACAAGGUUGAUAGGCACGAUGUGUAAGUGGAGCGAUCCAUUCAGCAAGCGUGUACUAAUAGGUCGAGGGCUUGACCAC
This 1743-nucleotide ribosomal RNA is filed under the name human gut metagenome. Its description in RNAcentral is "bacterial LSU rRNA". It matches the Rfam family "Bacterial large subunit ribosomal RNA", at positions 1100 to 2925 of the family's 2925-position model. The record is from RNAcentral.